Molecule: ribosomal RNA, 468 nt
Filed under: uncultured bacterium
Lineage: Bacteria
Description: partial 16S ribosomal RNA
Rfam family: Bacterial small subunit ribosomal RNA
Source: RNAcentral
GACGAACGCUGGCGGCGUGCUUAACACAUGCGAGUCGAACGGAAAGGCCCUGCUUUUGUGGGGUGCUCGAGUGGCGAACGGGGGAGUGACACGUGAGUAACCUGUCCUUGUCUUUGGGAUAACUUCAGGAAACAGGGGCUAAUACCGGAUAGGAGCUCCUGCUGCAUGGUGGGGGUUGGAAAGUUUCGGCGGUGGUGGAUGGACUAGAGGCUUAUCCGCUUGUUGGUGGGGUAGUGGCUUACCAAGGCUUCGACGGGUAGCCGGCCUGAGAGGGGGAACGGCCACAUUGGGACUGAGAUACGGCCCAGUCUCCUACGGGAGGCAGCAGGGGGGAAUCUUGCACAAUGGGCGGAAGCCAGAUGCAGCAGCGCCGCGUGCGGGAUACCGUCCUACGGGUUGUAAACAGCUGUGUACGGUGACGAAGCGUGAGUGACGGUAAUGGGUAAAAAAGCACCGGCUAACUACGUG